RNAcentral lists this ribosomal RNA (1552 nucleotides) under Staphylococcus aureus. RNAcentral's name for it is "16S ribosomal RNA". It matches the Rfam family "Bacterial small subunit ribosomal RNA". Lineage: Bacteria; Bacillati; Bacillota; Bacilli; Caryophanales; Staphylococcaceae. RNAcentral also lists the same sequence under 1 other name. The record is from RNAcentral.
UUUAUGGAGAGUUUGAUCCUGGCUCAGGAUGAACGCUGGCGGCGUGCCUAAUACAUGCAAGUCGAGCGAACGGACGAGAAGCUUGCUUCUCUGAUGUUAGCGGCGGACGGGUGAGUAACACGUGGAUAACCUACCUAUAAGACUGGGAUAACUUCGGGAAACCGGAGCUAAUACCGGAUAAUAUUUUGAACCGCAUGGUUCAAAAGUGAAAGACGGUCUUGCUGUCACUUAUAGAUGGAUCCGCGCUGCAUUAGCUAGUUGGUAAGGUAACGGCUUACCAAGGCAACGAUGCAUAGCCGACCUGAGAGGGUGAUCGGCCACACUGGAACUGAGACACGGUCCAGACUCCUACGGGAGGCAGCAGUAGGGAAUCUUCCGCAAUGGGCGAAAGCCUGACGGAGCAACGCCGCGUGAGUGAUGAAGGUCUUCGGAUCGUAAAACUCUGUUAUUAGGGAAGAACAUAUGUGUAAGUAACUGUGCACAUCUUGACGGUACCUAAUCAGAAAGCCACGGCUAACUACGUGCCAGCAGCCGCGGUAAUACGUAGGUGGCAAGCGUUAUCCGGAAUUAUUGGGCGUAAAGCGCGCGUAGGCGGUUUUUUAAGUCUGAUGUGAAAGCCCACGGCUCAACCGUGGAGGGUCAUUGGAAACUGGAAAACUUGAGUGCAGAAGAGGAAAGUGGAAUUCCAUGUGUAGCGGUGAAAUGCACAGAGAUAUGGAGGAACACCAGUGGCGAAGGCGACUUUCUGGUCUGUAACUGACGCUGAUGUGCGAAAGCGUGGGGAUCAAACAGGAUUAGAUACCCUGGUAGUCCACGCCGUAAACGAUGAGUGCUAAGUGUUAGGGGGUUUCCGCCCCUUAGUGCUGCAGCUAACGCAUUAAGCACUCCGCCUGGGGAGUACGACCGCAAGGUUGAAACUCAAAGGAAUUGACGGGGACCCGCACAAGCGGUGGAGCAUGUGGUUUAAUUCGAAGCAACGCGAAGAACCUUACCAAAUCUUGACAUCCUUUGACAACUCUAGAGAUAGAGCCUUCCCCUUCGGGGGACAAAGUGACAGGUGGUGCAUGGUUGUCGUCAGCUCGUGUCGUGAGAUGUUGGGUUAAGUCCCGCAACGAGCGCAACCCUUAAGCUUAGUUGCCAUCAUUAAGUUGGGCACUCUAAGUUGACUGCCGGUGACAAACCGGAGGAAGGUGGGGAUGACGUCAAAUCAUCAUGCCCCUUAUGAUUUGGGCUACACACGUGCUACAAUGGACAAUACAAAGGGCAGCGAAACCGCGAGGUCAAGCAAAUCCCAUAAAGUUGUUCUCAGUUCGGAUUGUAGUCUGCAACUCGACUACAUGAAGCUGGAAUCGCUAGUAAUCGUAGAUCAGCAUGCUACGGUGAAUACGUUCCCGGGUCUUGUACACACCGCCCGUCACACCACGAGAGUUUGUAACACCCGAAGCCGGUGGAGUAACCUUUUAGGAGCUAGCCGUCGAAGGUGGGACAAAUGAUUGGGGUGAAGUCGUAACAAGGUAGCCGUAUCGGAAGGUGCGGCUGGAUCACCUCCUUU